Molecule: long non-coding RNA, 940 nt
Organism: Paramisgurnus dabryanus
Lineage: Eukaryota; Metazoa; Chordata; Actinopteri; Cypriniformes; Cobitidae
Source: RefSeq, a predicted model, not a curated record
AUAGCAUGAUAAUUAAUACAUUUUUAAAUCAAUCACUUUGUCUCUGCACAAUGAACAUUAUCAAAUAUUAUUAAUGUUGUAAAAUAUAUUGUUCAUUGUUAGUUCAUAUUAGCUAAGGCAUUACCAAAUGUUAAGGAAUAAACUAUUGUAGUAAAGUGUUACUAAAUUUUCUUUUACCAUUUCCUUCACAAUGUCUACUUAUUUCUAUGGCUAACAGAUUUUGUAACAUUUGUAUUUUUUACAGUCUUACCAUUGCUUGUAAGCUGGAUUGGGUAAGAUGGAUCAUCUUUAAAGGCACCAGGCAAGUACAUGAUGUACAGUUACAAGUCAUGUAUUUUUUCGACUGCAAUAUUAAAUGCUUUCACGUCACAUGCAAAAUUACACAGGAAUGUGGCUGACUUUUUAUUUGUAGUUUACCUGAGUGUCAUUGCACUUUUCAGGAGUUAAGGCAGAUGUGGAGGCACAACGGGUGAUACCAGACACACACCAAGCACAUUAUGUUCGGACAUUCAAUCAUGACAUGAUCCAUGUGGAUGCUGUCCAUUGAGGAAAGAGUUUGUUCAGCGGUUUCUGGAUAGAAUUAAUUCCAAAGAUGGGAAAAAGUGCACAUCCAGACAAGGAGCAAGCAAAUGGACAAGGAACUUGGUGCAGAGAAAAGCUGUGGCCAUUAACCCCCAUGUGAACAGCUUCAUGCAGUCCCUGAUUGAGUUCGAAUGGACGACUUCAAAGUAAAGGCCACUGUGGUCUGUCUGCCACAGUUUAAUGCAUUUAUUUUUAGUGUUAAAUGAAAUUCAAGUAGAAUAUUUAAAACUAUGGGCCAGUGUUCUUUUUACCACAGUGAAAUGUUACCUUUUAGUCGAUGAUGGACUUUAAACUGAAAACUUCAAACUAUGGACCAGUGUUCUAUUUGCCAGAGUUAAAUAUGUUACAGCAGGGGUCU